Molecule: ribosomal RNA, 401 nt
Filed under: Allenoconcha basispiralis
Lineage: Eukaryota; Metazoa; Mollusca; Gastropoda; Stylommatophora; Microcystidae
Description: partial large subunit ribosomal RNA
Source: RNAcentral
UUGUAAAAUUAUUUCAAAUAUAUAAAAGUUACCUUUUGCAUAAUGGUUUAAUUAAAUUUUAAAAAUUUUUCAUUCCCGAAAUAAAAAGAUCUAAUAAAAAAUUAAAAAUAUGUUUUAAAAUAUUUAUUUAAUUUUUUAUUAGGUGUGAAAGGCUAGUCAAUUUUUAUGAUAUCUGGAUAAGAUUAAAUGUAUUUAGUACAGGCUUAAAGCUGAUGAGCCCCCUGUUAAGGGGGGGCUCAAAAAGUAUAUUAAUAUUAUAAAUUUAUUUAGGAUAAUUCUAUAAUAACUAUUGUGUGUUUAUAAUUAUUUAUUUAUUGAUCUGGUUUUUUUUUCUAGAAAAUUCUAAUUUUUUAAAUUUUUCAUAAUGUUAAAAUAAGUAUUAUUAAUAAUUUAAAUAUAGG